AAGGGAAAGGCUUAGUGGCGGACGGGUGAGUAACGCGUGGGUAACCUGGCCCAUACAGGGGGAUAACACUUAGAAAUAGGUGCUAAUACCGCAUAACAACAGAAAGCGCAUGCUUUUUGUUUGAAAACCAAGGUGGUAUGGGAUGGACCCGCGUCUGAUUAGCUGGUUGGCGGGGUAAAGGCCCACCAAGGCGACGAUCAGUAGCCGGCCUGAGAGGGUGGACGGCCACAUUGGGACUGAGACACGGCCCAAACUCCUACGGGAGGCAGCAGUGGGGAAUAUUGCACAAUGGGGGAAACCCUGAUGCAGCGACGCCGCGUGAGUGAAGAAGUAAUUCGUUAUGUAAAGCUCUAUCAGCAGGGAAGAAAAUGACGGUACCUGAGUAAGAAGCCCCGGCUAACUACGUGCCAGCAGCCGCGGUAAUACGUAGGGGGCAAGCGUUAUCCGGAUUUACUGGGUGUAAAGGGAGCGUAGACGGCAGUGCAAGUCUGGAGUGAAAGGCGGGGGCUCAACCCCCGGACUGCUCUGGAAACUGUACGGCUGGAGUGCAGGAGAGGUAAGUGGAAUUCCUAGUGUAGCGGUGAAAUGCGUAGAUAUUAGGAGGAACACCAGUGGCGAAGGCGGCUUACUGGACUGUAACUGACGUUGAGGCUCGAAAGCGUGGGGAGCAAACAGGAUUAGAUACCCUGGUAGU
RNAcentral lists this ribosomal RNA (694 nucleotides) under uncultured bacterium. RNAcentral's name for it is "bacterial SSU rRNA". It matches the Rfam family "Bacterial small subunit ribosomal RNA", at positions 81 to 794 of the family's 1533-position model. The record is from RNAcentral.